Molecule: ribosomal RNA, 789 nt
Filed under: Pseudomonas sp. YMAS3006
Lineage: Bacteria; Pseudomonadati; Pseudomonadota; Gammaproteobacteria; Pseudomonadales; Pseudomonadaceae
Description: partial 16S ribosomal RNA
Source: RNAcentral
UGCAUCUAGAGGGCACCAAAAACGUUCAAAGGAGUUUUUAUGUUUUGUGACAUCAGACUUAACUUUCACCGUGUACGCGCGUGCUUGACGAUCGUACUGGCNAGUACCGCAACGUUAGGCAUGCCAAACCAAGCGUUGGCGGCUUAUGAUUUUUCUAAGCUCGGCGCCGCGAUUGAAACAUUGUCGCCAGAGACCGUCAGUGAUUGGGAAAAGAAGGCCAGGGCUGGCGAUGCCAUGGCUCAGAACAUCAUGGGUCUUGCGUACAAAUGCGGUAUGGGCGUAAAGCAAAACCACGCGGCAUCGAUCCAGUGGUUCCGCAGGGCGGCCGAGCAGGGUGAAGCCGAUGCACAGUUCAACCUCGGGCGCCUCUACGGAAGUGAAGUCGACGGUAUGUAUAAGAAUGGGCGUGCGGCUCCUGCCCCCGAUGCAGAGGCUUUCAAGUGGUACCGCCUCGCUGCCGAGCAGGGACACACGCAGGCUCAAGUCAUGCUGGCCCAGCUGUUUGCAAAGGGUCUUACCGACAUCACGCCCGACCAGGUGCAUGCAUACCAGUGGAUGAAUCUGGCCGCGGCGUCGGGAGAACCGACAGCAGCAAAAGUCUUUGCAAAAUAUGCAGCUCAAAUGAAGCCCGGGACAGUUACAGCAAGCCCAUCUGCUGGCCUAGGAAUGCCCACGCCGGCAAGGCAACAGAGAUCUUCAAUCUCUACGGAAUUCCCGGCCACCUGCCGGUCGACCCCAUGCUAUAGCUCCAAACCCGUCCGACGUAUAGCUUAUUAUACUUAAGUGUCA